AAAUAGAAUUUGACUUGGGAACAAAGAGAAGAGUGGAAAUGUGGAUGUAAUCAAAAUUCUGUUAAGAAAACUAAGUGGGAAAACAGUAUACAGUUAGAGCUUGCUUAAUCUCCCUUCCUCUCUCAAGCUAUAGUUUAGAAGUCUACAAUAUACUAUGGCUUUGUUAAACUUGAUUUAAACAGGUAGCCAUCACCACAACAAGCCAUCACUAGGUGCUGACUGGCAGAAUCAGCCAGAACUGCUUAAGAAGUUGCUGUCCACAGCAGUUGGAUGCCUCCAUUUGGUGAUAUUUAACACCUCAAAGCUGAAAAAGUGUCUUCAUUUAGGUCAACCACCAUCAACAUCAGUUCAGUCAGGCUGAUUUUGGACGGAAGUGGGUUACAGCAAGCUCUUAUGCCAGGUGCUGUAGGCAUGUGAAGCUUCAAAACACUGUAAUGAAAGGAACAUCUUAGAAUUGCAACUUCAACAACUCAAUCUGCUUUUGAAGACACACAUUUUCAUCCUAGAAGUAAACUGUCAAGCUUGUACCAGAAGCUGAUGGAGGACACAGAAGUUGGCUUUCAGAUGACAAGGCUUUUCAGAUUCACGCAUCCUCUGAGCCUCCCUGAGUCUGCUGAGACCAUAGAGAAAUGCAUUUAA
Molecule: long non-coding RNA, 639 nt
Filed under: Meleagris gallopavo (turkey)
Lineage: Eukaryota; Metazoa; Chordata; Aves; Galliformes; Phasianidae
Description: lncRNA (ENSMGAG00000020162.1)
Source: RNAcentral